Long non-coding RNA from Ananas comosus (pineapple), 1226 nucleotides. RefSeq lists it as uncharacterized. Lineage: Eukaryota; Viridiplantae; Streptophyta; Magnoliopsida; Poales; Bromeliaceae. The record is from RefSeq and is a predicted model, not a curated record. The transcript is spliced from 3 exons.
AUUGUAAGCAUCAAGGUGCAGUCCAGCAGCAGCUACAACAGUGCAUUCCAACAGUGACCACUGAACUCGAAGGUGAAAUUGAUAGAUUUUGAGACUUCAAGCUGAUAAAUUGGAACCUACUCUUGGACUACUCAGUGUGUGGAAUGGGGCGAGCAAGUUAUUCAGCUGAGUUGGUGAGGAAUUUAGCUUCAAUUAAGGUAAAUUGGUCGUAAUGCUGAUUUUGGAUGUUUAAUUAAGCCUCAUGUUUUGAGAGUUGUAACUCCAACUUCUUUAUGAGUGAGUUUUAGAGGAUUCUGACUGAUUCACACCUGCCUAUACUGAUUCAAAGCUGCUCUAUGUUGAUUUGUAAGGUACAUUAGCUCCGAAUUAGGGAUUUUUGGGAAUUUCGCGUUCACUUCCCUUUUCAUUGGAGCUAGGGGAAAGUGCUUGUGGAGUUUCAAUUCGAUCCUUUAUCAAAUUAGCACGCUAGAUGGGUUUAGCUACUGCUUCGUAUACACAGAAUAUUCCUAUAUAUACGACGAAUCUGUUGGUGAGCCUGGAAAAAGUGAAGGCCCAGGGCAUAAUAGAUUAACCAUACAAUAAAUGUAUGUGUAUUGGACAUUGUGAUUAACCUUAAAAGUCAUGAAUGUAGCGUGUAAUAUUGACAUAAAUCGCGAUGUUCUGUGUCUAAUGGGAGAUGCCGAUCAUUGUUGACUCCUUAUGUAGUGCUUGGAGAUGUCAAUCACUCUUGACUCCAAGUGGCUAUUAUGCUCGGUGAUGCCGAUCUCUCUCAACACCAAGUGCUUACCGAUUGAAGAGAUACCGAUCACUCUCGACUCUCCAUGAGGUGCGGAGUGUGAAAUAGAACCAACCAAAUGAAUGGUGAGAGAUAUGAGAUAUAUUUUAUAGCAUAGUGAGUAUACUUGAGGUAUUGUAGUGGUACUUCCAUUACUUGCAUUGUUUUCAUAGAAAUAGCUAUUUUAUUUACUAUUGUUCUCUAAUGACUCCUUUGGACCGAAUGGGUGUAAAGUAUCACUUUAGGUGGUUGCACCUACUGCAAACUUAUUUGAAAUUCUCACCCCAUUGUUGUUUACCCUUUCUAAAUCCCAUUAUUGCUGGUGAGAUGCGACACUGUAGUAAAGGCGUUGCGGAGUAGUUAGAUCGUGAGUUGGUCUAGUGUGUACCUAUUUUGGAUGGAAAAACAAAAUUUGUAAUUUUUUCCAAGAACAAAUGUUGUAAAUCUUAAA